UGCCAGACUCCUACGGGAGGCAGCAGUGGGGAAUAUUGCACAAUGGGGGGAACCCUGAUGCAGCAAUGCCGCGUGAAGGAUGAAGGUUUUCGGAUUGUAAACUUCUUUUGUACGGGACGAAGAAAGUGACGGUACCGUAAGAAUAAGCCACGGCUAACUACGUGCCAGCAGCCGCGGUAAUACGUAGGUGGCAAGCGUUAUCCGGAUUUACUGGGUGUAAAGGGAGCGCAGGCGGCACGCUAAGCCUGAUGUGAAAACCCGCGGCCCAACCGCGGGAGUGCAUUGGGAACUGGCGGGCUAGAGUACCGGAGGGGCAGGCGGAAUUCCUAGUGUAGCGGUGAAAUGCGUAGAUAUUAGGAGGAACACCAGUGGCGAAGGCGGCCUGCUGGACGGAGACUGACGCUGAGGCUCGAAAGCGUGGGGAGCAAACAGGAUUAGAUACCCCUGUAA
RNAcentral lists this ribosomal RNA (450 nucleotides) under uncultured bacterium. RNAcentral describes it as "partial 16S ribosomal RNA". It matches the Rfam family "Bacterial small subunit ribosomal RNA", at positions 329 to 793 of the family's 1533-position model. The record is from RNAcentral.